ACUACGGGGGGCUGCAGUGGGGGAUAUUGCACAAUGGGGGAAACCCUGAUGCAGCGACGCCGCGUGGGUGAAGAAGCGCCUCGGCGCGUAAAGCCCUGUCAGCAGGGAAGAAAAUGACGGUACCUGAAGAAGAAGCCCCGGCUAACUACGUGCCAGCAGCCGCGGUAAUACGUAGGGGGCAAGCGGUAUCCGGAUGUACUGGGGGUAAAGGGGGCGCAGACGGCGAUGCAAGCCAGGAGUGAAAGCCCGGGGCCCAACCCCGGGACUGCUCUUGGAACUGCGUGGCUGGAGUGCAGGAGGGGCAGGCGGAAUUCCUGGUGUAGCGGUGAAAUGCGUAGAUAUCAGGAGGAACACCGGUGGCGAAGGCGGCCUGCUGGACUGCAACUGACGUUGAGGCCCGAAAGCGUGGGGAGCAAACAGGAUUAGAUACCCGUGUAGUC
RNAcentral lists this ribosomal RNA (440 nucleotides) under uncultured bacterium. RNAcentral's name for it is "partial 16S ribosomal RNA". It matches the Rfam family "Bacterial small subunit ribosomal RNA", at positions 338 to 795 of the family's 1533-position model. The record is from RNAcentral.